GCCAAUCAGUGGAUGGAUGCCAUAGAUCUGUCCAGUAAGAGGACAAGAGGCGUAGGGGACAUCAUCAGUGAGCACAUGCGAGUUACGACUCAAGUCAUGAACUGGUUGAAUAAAGUCGUGGAUGUGGGUAAAGGAAUUGCCAAUGGUGUGUGCCGAACUGUGAAAUUGUUCUGACAGACUGGAGAGACUGGAACUGGCCUUAAACAACAACGGCAACAACAACAACCACCACCACCACCACAACA
Molecule: long non-coding RNA, 245 nt
Organism: Alosa alosa (allis shad)
Lineage: Eukaryota; Metazoa; Chordata; Actinopteri; Clupeiformes; Clupeidae
Exons: 6
Source: RefSeq, a predicted model, not a curated record